Molecule: ribosomal RNA, 466 nt
Filed under: uncultured bacterium
Lineage: Bacteria
Description: partial 16S ribosomal RNA
Rfam family: Bacterial small subunit ribosomal RNA
Source: RNAcentral
GAUGAACGCUGGCGGCGUGCUUAACACAUGCAAGUCGAACGAUGAAGCCCAGCUUGCUGGGUGGAUUAGUGGCGAACGGGUGAGUAACACGUGAGUAACCUGCCCUUAACUCUGGGAUAAGCCUGGGAAACUGGGUCUAAUACCGGAUAGGAGGGUCCACCGCAUGGUGGGUGUUGGAAAGAUUUAUCGGUUUUGGAUGGACUCGCGGCCUAUCAGCUUGUUGGUGAGGUAAUGGCUCACCAAGGCGACGACGGGUAGCCGGCCUGAGAGGGUGACCGGCCACACUGGGACUGAGACACGGCCCAGACUCCUACGGGAGGCAGCAGUGGGGAAUAUUGCACAAUGGGCGCAAGCCUGAUGCAGCGACGCCGCGUGAGGGAUGACGGCCUUCGGGUUGUAAACCUCUUUCAGUAGGGAAGAAGCGAAAGUGACGGUACCUGCAGAAGAAGCACCGGCUAACUACGUG